RNAcentral lists this ribosomal RNA (465 nucleotides) under uncultured bacterium. RNAcentral describes it as "partial 16S ribosomal RNA". It matches the Rfam family "Bacterial small subunit ribosomal RNA", at positions 28 to 507 of the family's 1533-position model. The record is from RNAcentral.
GACGAACGCUGGCGGCGUGCUUAACACAUGCAAGUCGAACGGAAAGGCCCCUUUUGGGGUCCUCGAGUGGCGAACGGGUGAGUAACACGUGAGUAACCUGCCCUUGACUUCGGGAUAACUUCAGGAAACUGGGGCUAAUACCUGAUAGGAAUCCUUGCUGCAUGGUUGGGGUUGGAAAGCUUCGGCGGUUUUGGAUGGACUCGCGGCUUAUCAGCUUGUUGGUGGGGUAGUGGCUUACCAAGGCUUUGACGGGUAGCCGGCCUGAGAGGGCGACCGGCCACAUUGGGACUGAGAUACGGCCCAGACUCCUACGGGAGGCAGCAGUGGGUAAUAUUGCACAAUGGGCGGAAGCCUGAUGCAGCAACGCCGCGUGCGGGAUGACGGCCUUCGGGUUGUAAACCGCUUUCAGCAGGGGCGAAGCUUGUGGUGACGGUACCUGCAGAAGAAGCACCGGCUAACUACGUG